ACAAGAAUCGCUUGAACCCAGGAGGUGGAAGUUGCAGUGAGCCGAGAUCUUGCCACUGCACUCCAGCGUGGGGAACAGAA
This 80-nucleotide small nuclear RNA is filed under the name Homo sapiens (human). RNAcentral's name for it is "partial ncRNA". The record is from RNAcentral. Lineage: Eukaryota; Metazoa; Chordata; Mammalia; Primates; Hominidae.